This is a long non-coding RNA of Nilaparvata lugens (brown planthopper), 472 nucleotides long. RefSeq lists it as uncharacterized. The record is from RefSeq and is a predicted model, not a curated record. NCBI's taxonomy places the organism in Eukaryota, Metazoa, Arthropoda, Insecta, Hemiptera, Delphacidae. The transcript has 2 exons.
AUAUAAAAUAUUUUUUCCUUGAAGGUCGAAAAGUCGUUCUCGAUCAAGAAGUGGAUCAGCGAAGUCCAGAUCGGCAUCCAGGUCCAGAUCUCGUUCCAGGAGUGGCUCAAGAUCUCCGUCUCCAGAAACUAGAAAAUCUGUUUCUGGCAGUGAAGGUUCUGGAAGUGGCAGUGACUAAACUACGGUCGUAUUCAAUUAUUAGUAAAAACAGUUUCAAUUUUACAAUAUGGAAACAAUAUGAUGCACUUGGAAAUUUGUCAAAUAAACUACCUAUUUAAUAUAGAUUUACUUUUUAAAUGAGAACUGAUUCCUUUGUUCUUUUUCAUUGAGUUGAGCUGGUAAUAUGUUAUUAUCAUUCUUUUGUCAUUGAAUAUGUUUAAUUUUCUUUUUUUCAAAGGAACAUCAAUGGCAAUAAUCAAUAUUGAUGACUUUAUUCAAGUUUUCUAAUAAAUGUAACUACUUUAAUUUCUAA